GCAAACCUCAGGACACCUGCGGGGGGGGGGGGAUCUGAGGUCAACCCACAUCCCCAGGGAAUGGAGGUGCUCAGAGGAGAGGGUAGCUUGAGCAUGAGUCACUCGCCAGGUAGCUGUCUGCCAAACAA
Pipistrellus kuhlii (Kuhl's pipistrelle) is the source of this 128-nucleotide long non-coding RNA. RefSeq lists it as uncharacterized. Lineage: Eukaryota; Metazoa; Chordata; Mammalia; Chiroptera; Vespertilionidae. The record is from RefSeq and is a predicted model, not a curated record. The transcript is spliced from 3 exons.